Molecule: ribosomal RNA, 389 nt
Filed under: uncultured Methanosaeta sp.
Lineage: Archaea; Methanobacteriati; Methanobacteriota; Methanomicrobia; Methanotrichales; Methanotrichaceae
Description: bacterial SSU rRNA
Rfam family: Archaeal small subunit ribosomal RNA
Source: RNAcentral
AAGGUCAGGCUGAAGACUUACCCGAUUAGCUGAGAGGUGGUGCAUGGCCGUCGUCAGUUCGUACUGUGAAGCAUCCUGUUAAAGUCAGGCAACGAGCGAGACCCACGUCCACAGUUGCCGGCAUACCCUCCGGGGUGAUGGGUACACUGUGGAGACCGCCGCUGCUAAAGCGGAGGAAGGAGUGGGCAACGGUAGGUCAGUAUGCCCCGAAUCUCCCGGGCUACACGCGGGCUACAAUGGUUGGUACAAUGGGCAUCUACCCCGAAAGGGGAAGGAAAUCUCUUAAAGCCAAUCGUAGUUCGGAUUGAGGGCUGCAACUCGCCCUCAUGAAGCUGGAAUCCGUAGUAAUCGCGUUUCAACAGAACGCGGUGAAUACGUCCCUGCUCCUU